RNAcentral lists this ribosomal RNA (156 nucleotides) under Triticum aestivum (bread wheat). Its description in RNAcentral is "rRNA 5_8S_rRNA". It matches the Rfam family "5.8S ribosomal RNA". Rfam says of the family: 5.8S ribosomal RNA (5.8S rRNA) is a component of the large subunit of the eukaryotic ribosome. Lineage: Eukaryota; Viridiplantae; Streptophyta; Magnoliopsida; Poales; Poaceae. The record is from Rfam by way of RNAcentral.
GACUCUCGGCAACGGAUAUCUUGGCUCUCGCAUCGAUGAAGAACGUAGCGAAAUGCGAUACCUGGUGUGAAUUGCAGAAUCCCGCGAACCAUCGAGUCUUUGAACGCAAGUUGCGCCCGAGGCCACUCGGCCGAGGGCACGCCUGCCUGGGCGUCA